RNAcentral lists this ribosomal RNA (253 nucleotides) under uncultured bacterium. Its description in RNAcentral is "partial 16S ribosomal RNA". It matches the Rfam family "Bacterial small subunit ribosomal RNA", at positions 524 to 776 of the family's 1533-position model. The record is from RNAcentral.
UACGAAGGGGGCUAGCGUUGCUCGGAAUCACUGGGCGUAAAGGGUGCGUAGGCGGGUUUUUAAGUCAGGGGUGAAAUCCUGGAGCUCAACUCCAGAACUGCCUUUGAUACUGAAGAUCUUGAGUCCGGGAGAGGUGAGUGGAACUGCGAGUGUAGAGGUGAAAUUCGUAGAUAUUCGCAAGAACACCAGUGGCGAAGGCGGCUCACUGGCCCGGUACUGACGCUGAGGCACGAAGGCGUGGGGAGCAAACAGG